This 253-nucleotide ribosomal RNA is filed under the name uncultured bacterium. RNAcentral describes it as "partial 16S ribosomal RNA". It matches the Rfam family "Bacterial small subunit ribosomal RNA", at positions 524 to 776 of the family's 1533-position model. The record is from RNAcentral.
GACAGAGGUCCCAAGCGUUAGGCGGAAUCACUGGGCUUAAAGCGUGUGUAGGCGGACUUCUAAGUACCUUGUGAAAUCCCACGGCUCAACCGUGGAACUGCUUGGUAUACUGGUUGUCUUGGGCCAUCUAGGGGCUAGCGGAACAAACGGUGGAGCGGUGAAAUGCGUAGAUAUCGCUUGGAACGCCGAAGGUGAAAACAGGCUGCUGGGGUUGCGCCGACGCUGAGACACGAAAGCCAGGGGAGCAAACGGG